GAUGAACGCUGGCGGCGUGCCUAAUACAUGCAAGUCGAACGAGGUGCUUUUGUAGCAAUACGAGAGUAUCCUAGUGGCGAACGGGUGAGUAACGCGUUGGUGACCUACCCCAAAGUGUGGGAUAACAGUCCGAAAGGAUUGCUAAUACCGCAUGUGGUCUUCGGAUUUAGAAACUGAUGACUAAAGGAGCAAUUCGCUUUGGGAGGGACCUGCGUCCCAUCAGCUAGUUGGUGAGGUAAUGGCUCACCAAGGCUACGACGGGUAGGGGACCUGAGAGGGUGACCCCCCACAAUGGAACUGAAACACGGUCCAUACACCUACGGGUGGCAGCAGUAGGGAAUAUUGCACAAUGGGCGAAAGCCUGAUGCAGCAACGCCGCGUGUGCGAUGAAGGCCUUCGGGUCGUAAAGCACUUUUCUGGGAGAUGAGCAAGGACAGUAUCUCAGGAAUAAGUCUCGGCUAACUAACGUGCCAGCAGCCGCGGUAAU
This 487-nucleotide ribosomal RNA is filed under the name uncultured bacterium. Its description in RNAcentral is "bacterial SSU rRNA". It matches the Rfam family "Bacterial small subunit ribosomal RNA", at positions 28 to 524 of the family's 1533-position model. The record is from RNAcentral.